Small nucleolar RNA from Acomys russatus (golden spiny mouse), 105 nucleotides. RefSeq annotates it as small nucleolar RNA U13. The transcript has a single exon. Lineage: Eukaryota; Metazoa; Chordata; Mammalia; Rodentia; Muridae. The record is from RefSeq and is a predicted model, not a curated record.
UUCUUUUUUGUCGUUCAUGAGCAUGGCGAUUGGUCCUCACUCCUUUGAAUGAUGUGUGCUGCCUUGUAAACCCUGUUAUGAUGUGGGCACAUUACCUAUCUGCUG